Molecule: ribosomal RNA, 492 nt
Filed under: uncultured bacterium
Lineage: Bacteria
Description: partial 16S ribosomal RNA
Rfam family: Bacterial small subunit ribosomal RNA
Source: RNAcentral
AGUGAACGCUGGCGGUAGGCCUAACACAUGCAAGUCGAACGGCAGCACAGUGAGAGCUUGCUCUUACGGGUGGCGAGUGGCGGACGGGUGAGGAAUACAUCGGAAUCUAAUUUUUCGUGGGGGAUAACGUAGGGAAACUUACGCUAAUACCGCAUACGACCUACGGGUGAAAGCAGGGGAUCUUCGGACCUUGCGCGAUUGAAUGAGCCGAUGUCGGAUUAGCUAGUUGGCGGGGUAAAGGCCCACCAAGGCGACGAUCCGUAGCUGAUCUGAGAGGAUGAUCAGCCACACUGGAACUGAGACACGGUCCAGACUCCUACGGGAGGCAGCAGUAGGGAAUAUUGGACAAUGGGCGCAAGCCUGAUCCAGCCAUACCGCGUGAGUGAAGAAGGCCUUCGGGUUGUAAAGCCCUUUUGUUGGGAAAGAAAAGCAGCAGGUUAAUACCCCGCUGUUCUGACGGUACCCAAAGAAUAAGCACCGGCUAACUUCGUG